UUCGGUCGAGGCGUUGCGGGUGCGUUGGCCCUCCGGGAGGGCGGCUACGAAGAACCAGGUGUCGUAGCGGCGGGGUUCGAACUCCGGGGUGAUCC
This 95-nucleotide transfer RNA is filed under the name Streptomyces chartreusis. RNAcentral describes it as "tRNA-Pro". Lineage: Bacteria; Bacillati; Actinomycetota; Actinomycetes; Kitasatosporales; Streptomycetaceae. The record is from RNAcentral.